Molecule: ribosomal RNA, 1119 nt
Filed under: Triticum aestivum (bread wheat)
Lineage: Eukaryota; Viridiplantae; Streptophyta; Magnoliopsida; Poales; Poaceae
Description: partial small subunit ribosomal RNA
Source: RNAcentral
AUGGACGUUACCGGGGACGCCGGUGGAGGUCGCCGCCCCAACUCCCCCCUGCAGCUCCUCGAAAAGAAGGAGGAACAUCCGUGCUCCAUCUCCCCGGCUGCUGGGCUCGGGACGAAUGGGUCGGCGACGGGGGAGCUGCAGGUGCGGAAGGCGGCGCCGCCUAAGCGGACCACGAGCAAGGACCGGCAUACGAAGGUGGACGGCCGCGGCCGCCGCAUCCGGAUGCCGGCGAUCUGCGCGGCGCGGGUGUUCCAGCUGACGCGGGAGCUGGGGCACAAGACGGACGGCGAGACCAUCGAGUGGCUCCUGCAGCAGGCGGAGCCCGCUGUGAUCGCGGCAACCGGCACAGGCACCAUCCCGGCCAACUUCACCUCUCUCAACAUCUCCCUCCGCUCCUCCGGCUCCAUGCUCUCCACCAUACCUGCCCACCUCCGCGCCGCCGGCCUGCCCGGCUCUCGUUUUGGAGGUGGCGCACGGGCUGACGCGUGGGACCGCUUCGUCGGUCUCGGGUUCGGCGGCGGCCUCGAGAGCCCGGCAUCCACCACCACCUCCUCGUCGUCCCCGCUGCUGCUGAGCUUCCACUCUGGAAGCGUCGGCCUCGACGUUUCGCCAUCGUCGGCGACGGCCGCGGCCAACACGGAACUGUCCAGGAAGCGGCGUUGGGAGCAAGAAAUGCAGCAGCAGCGACACCAACAGCAACAGCAACAACAGUACCAGCAGCAGAUGGCCGGGUACACGCAGAGCCAAAUGCCGGGCACUGUGUGGAUGGUGCCGACGAGCCACGCCCAGGGCGCCGGAGCGGCGCCUGCCGGUGGCGGCGAGUCGAUCUGGACGUUCCCGCAACCCGGAAGCGGCGGCGGCGGCUCGGCGACCGUGUACCGCGGCGUGCCGAGCGGGCUACAUUUCAUGAACAUCCCCGCGCCGAUGGCAGUGCACGCGCAGCAGCUGGGGCUCGGCCAGGCCGGCGGAGGUGGAUCAGCAGCAGCGGGCGAGGGGCACAUGGGGAUCCUCGCCGCGCUCAACGCGUACCGCGGGCAGCAUGCAUCCGCGUUGGAGGUCACCGUGGCGGGGCACAAUGGAGCAGCUGAAGGGACUACUCACCAUCAACAUCAGAACUAG